RNAcentral lists this ribosomal RNA (482 nucleotides) under uncultured bacterium. Its description in RNAcentral is "partial 16S ribosomal RNA". It matches the Rfam family "Bacterial small subunit ribosomal RNA", at positions 30 to 507 of the family's 1533-position model. The record is from RNAcentral.
AUUGAACGCUGGCGGCAUGCCUUACACAUGCAAGUCGAACGGUAACAGGUCUUCGGCUGCUGCCGAGUGGCGAACGGGUGAGUAAUACAUCGGAACGUGCCCGAUCGUGGGGGAUAACGAAGCGAAAGCUUUGCUAAUACCGCAUAAGAUCUACGGAUGAAAGCAGGGGACCGCAAGGCCUUGCGCGAACGGAGCGGCCGAUGGCAGAUUAGGUAGUUGGUGGGAUAAAAGCUUACCAAGCCGACGAUCUGUAGCUGGUCUGAGAGGACGACCAGCCACACUGGGACUGAGACACGGCCCAGACUCCUACGGGAGGCAGCAGUGGGGAAUUUUGGACAAUGGGCGAAAGCCUGAUCCAGCCAUGCCGCGUGCAGGAUGAAGGCCUUCGGGUUGUAAACUGCUUUUGUACGGAACGAAAAGACUCUGGUUAAUACCUGGGGUCCAUGACGGUACCGUAAGAAUAAGCACCGGCUAACUACGUG